Molecule: ribosomal RNA, 1556 nt
Filed under: Escherichia coli
Lineage: Bacteria; Pseudomonadati; Pseudomonadota; Gammaproteobacteria; Enterobacterales; Enterobacteriaceae
Also listed under: 1 other name
Description: bacterial SSU rRNA
Rfam family: Bacterial small subunit ribosomal RNA
Source: RNAcentral
UUAAAUUGAAGAGUUUGAUCAUGGCUCAGAUUGAACGCUGGCGGCAGGCCUAACACAUGCAAGUCGAACGGUAACAGAAAGCAGCUUGCUGCUUUGCUGACGAGUGGCGGACGGGUGAGUAAUGUCUGGGAAACUGCCUGAUGGAGGGGGAUAACUACUGGAAACGGUAGCUAAUACCGCAUAACGUCGCAAGACCAAAGAGGGGGACCUUCGGGCCUCUUGCCAUCGGAUGUGCCCAGAUGGGAUUAGCUAGUAGGUGGGGUAAAGGCUCACCUAGGCGACGAUCCCUAGCUGGUCUGAGAGGAUGACCAGCCACACUGGAACUGAGACACGGUCCAGACUCCUACGGGAGGCAGCAGUGGGGAAUAUUGCACAAUGGGCGCAAGCCUGAUGCAGCCAUGCCGCGUGUAUGAAGAAGGCCUUCGGGUUGUAAAGUACUUUCAGCGGGGAGGAAGGGAGUAAAGUUAAUACCUUUGCUCAUUGACGUUACCCGCAGAAGAAGCACCGGCUAACUCCGUGCCAGCAGCCGCGGUAAUACGGAGGGUGCAAGCGUUAAUCGGAAUUACUGGGCGUAAAGCGCACGCAGGCGGUUUGUUAAGUCAGAUGUGAAAUCCCCGGGCUCAACCUGGGAACUGCAUCUGAUACUGGCAAGCUUGAGUCUCGUAGAGGGGGGUAGAAUUCCAGGUGUAGCGGUGAAAUGCGUAGAGAUCUGGAGGAAUACCGGUGGCGAAGGCGGCCCCCUGGACGAAGACUGACGCUCAGGUGCGAAAGCGUGGGGAGCAAACAGGAUUAGAUACCCUGGUAGUCCACGCCGUAAACGAUGUCGACUUGGAGGUUGUGCCCUUGAGGCGUGGCUUCCGGAGCUAACGCGUUAAGUCGACCGCCUGGGGAGUACGGCCGCAAGGUUAAAACUCAAAUGAAUUGACGGGGGCCCGCACAAGCGGUGGAGCAUGUGGUUUAAUUCGAUGCAACGCGAAGAACCUUACCUGGUCUUGACAUCCACGGAAGUUUUCAGAGAUGAGAAUGUGCCUUCGGGAACCGUGAGACAGGUGCUGCAUGGCUGUCGUCAGCUCGUGUUGUGAAAUGUUGGGUUAAGUCCCGCAACGAGCGCAACCCUUAUCCUUUGUUGCCAGCGGUCCGGCCGGGAACUCAAAGGAGACUGCCAGUGAUAAACUGGAGGAAGGUGGGGAUGACGUCAAGUCAUCAUGGCCCUUACGACCAGGGCUACACACGUGCUACAAUGGCGCAUACAAAGAGAAGCGACCUCGCGAGAGCAAGCGGACCUCAUAAAGUGCGUCGUAGUCCGGAUUGGAGUCUGCAACUCGACUCCAUGAAGUCGGAAUCGCUAGUAAUCGUGGAUCAGAAUGCCACGGUGAAUACGUUCCCGGGCCUUGUACACACCGCCCGUCACACCAUGGGAGUGGGUUGCAAAAGAAGUAGGUAGCUUAACCUUCGGGAGGGCGCUUACCACUUUGUGAUUCAUGACUGGGGUGAAGUCGUAACAAGGUAACCGUAGGGGAACCUGCGGUUGGAUCACCUCCUUACCUUAAAGAAGC